AAAAACUUUAAAUCAAAGUUGCAGUAAUUGUUUUAAGAAAGCUAAUCAACAUUUUUUUUUUUUUGUAAAAGCCUUGCAAUUUAUUAAAACAUAUACUCAAUGGACUAUUUUUGUAAUAGGCCCAUACAUUAAUCCCUUUAGGGCCCAGUCCAAUUACACCAAACCAACUAGCUAACCAAACCAAAAUUGAUCCCAGUUUUUAAAAUCUAAAUCAGUAGCUAACCGAAUUAAACCAGAAACCCUAAUCUUUGAUCGGAGAACCCGAACAGAACCGCCUUCCCACAUAGCAGCGGAUACUCGCCGGAUCAGGACCUCCGACGAGCCAGGAAGAUGGGAGUCGAACGGAGUAGGCGACACAGGGUCGUCAGCAUCCAGCCACCGUAGAGUUGAGUAGAGAAGGAAGAAGAAACCGAUACAAAAAUCCGAAAGCCACAGUUCAGUCAUGAUAGAGAUAAAGCAGUAGGGAGUAGAUCUUGAUAACCAUCAACGGUGGCUUAGCUUUGCCUUUCCAACUGAAAACCUCCCCCGUCUAACCGUCGGCCGUGACAAAACCUCAUGUGUCUCCAGUCGUCUAGAUCUAACCGCUGUUUCUUUCUCGUUCCUUACUG
RNAcentral lists this long non-coding RNA (608 nucleotides) under Capsella grandiflora. Its description in RNAcentral is "long non-coding RNA (CGRA_LNC001199)". Lineage: Eukaryota; Viridiplantae; Streptophyta; Magnoliopsida; Brassicales; Brassicaceae. The record is from RNAcentral.